This 242-nucleotide ribosomal RNA is filed under the name uncultured bacterium. RNAcentral describes it as "partial 16S ribosomal RNA". It matches the Rfam family "Bacterial small subunit ribosomal RNA", at positions 64 to 334 of the family's 1533-position model. The record is from RNAcentral.
GAACGAAGGCUUCGGCCUUAGUGGCGCACGGGUGCGUAACGCGUGGGAAUCUGCCCUUUGGUUCGGAAUAACAGCUGGAAACGGCUGCUAAUACCGGAUGAUGACGAAAGUCCAAAGAUUUAUCGCCAGAGGAUGAGCCCGCGUUGGAUUAGGUAGUUGGUGGGGUAAAGGCCUACCAAGCCGACGAUCCAUAGCUGGUCUGAGAGGAUGAUCAGCCACACUGGGACUGAGACACGGCCCAG